UGUAAGCAGAGCUAGUACUUCGGAAGUUCGGACGCCCUUUAUUUGUUAGGAUUGGUUAUUCAUAUAAAAAACGACGAUAUGAAGACAACGCGUUCAACUUUUAAUCUAUAGCUGCCUGUGAUGUGAAAACGUACACGGAACAAUUAAAAGUUACACGACGACGCGGCAGAAAUGAGAGAAUUAUGCAGCAAGAAGACGGGGAGAAUACAAUGUGUCUGUGAUGAAGAUAAACGAAGAUUGACUGACUGAGCAUCAUUGACACGGUCCCUCUCUAAGCAACCAGCGCUGGAUGUUGAGCAUGGACGGUCAGGUUGUGUGUGAAGAAGAGCAGCGCAAAUUUGUCUCUGGUCUUGCAACGCUGAUUGCCUCAUUCUACAAUUUUAACCUCCAGGAUCAGGAAGCGGUGGCAUGCACCCUUGGGUUUGUUCAGAGAUGAUUUCUCUUCAUCAACCUGGAACGUGGAUCACAGAUGAAGAAAGGGAAAAAGAACACUACAGUAAAUCCACAGGUUUUCACUCUUCAUAGAAAACUUACAGACUUUAAAUGCAAUUUUGUUUAGACACUUCCACUAUCCAGUGUAGUUGAAUUAAAAGGAAAUAAAGUUUCUUACAUUGUUAAUGAUGUGCUGUUAAUUGAAAUACAAACGUACAGCUGGCAUUUCAUCCAAAUAUGCUUAUGUUAAAGAAUUACACCACUUUUAAAAUGAUGCAAAAACAAAAGAAAGUCAGGAGGGAAAAUACA
Molecule: long non-coding RNA, 741 nt
Organism: Paramisgurnus dabryanus
Lineage: Eukaryota; Metazoa; Chordata; Actinopteri; Cypriniformes; Cobitidae
Source: RefSeq, a predicted model, not a curated record